RNAcentral lists this ribosomal RNA (450 nucleotides) under uncultured bacterium. Its description in RNAcentral is "partial 16S ribosomal RNA". It matches the Rfam family "Bacterial small subunit ribosomal RNA", at positions 354 to 796 of the family's 1533-position model. The record is from RNAcentral.
GUGGGGAAUUUUGGACAAUGGGCGCAAGCCUGAUCCAGCAAUGCCGCGUGCAGGAAGAAGGCCUUCGGGUUGUAAACUGCUUUUGUACGGAACGAAACGGUCCGGGUUAAUACCCUGGGCUAAUGACGGUACCGUAAGAAUAAGCACCGGCUAACUACGUGCCAGCAGCCGCGGUAAUACGUAGGGGGCAAGCGUUAAUCGGAAUUACUGGGCGUACAGCGUGCGCAGGCGGUUUUGUAAGACAGGCGUGAAAUCCCCGGGCUCAACCUGGGAAUUGCGCUUGUGACUGCAAGGGUGGAGGGCGGCAGAGGGGGAUGGAAUUCCGCGUGUAGCAGUGAAAUGCGUAGAUAUGCGGAGGAACACCGAUGGCGAAGGCAAUCCCCUGGGCCUGCACUGACGCUCAUGCACGAAAGCGUGGGGAGCAAACAGGAUUAGAUACCCCGGUAGUCC